RNAcentral lists this long non-coding RNA (1595 nucleotides) under Salmo salar (Atlantic salmon). RNAcentral describes it as "lncRNA (ENSSSAG00000121782.1)". Lineage: Eukaryota; Metazoa; Chordata; Actinopteri; Salmoniformes; Salmonidae. The record is from RNAcentral.
CCCCUGAAGUAGUUUUCCUGUGUUUUGUCACCUCAUCUCUUGAUGUGUAUCAGUUCAGGAGUGUUAAUAGGAGUGUUAAUAUGUUAAUAUGUUUUAUGGAAAAAAUAGUUACAAUUUAAAUAGCCUACCUGACAACAUGUAGGCCUACUGAUUAGUAACUUUGAAAACUGCUGUCUGUCAGCAACUCAGCUCAAGUAGCAGUUCUACUAACUAGUAAUAUCUCAUUCCAGGUAUUCAUUCUCUUACUCUGUCCAUUAGAAUAAAUUAUUGUUCAGAAAUACUUUAUUUUUCAGUUCUCUCCAUAUAGUGUUUUCUGCUCUGUCGUCUCAAAAUGGAUCCUGAACAAAAUAACAACUUUACUUUGUGUUUCAGCUCAGCCGUCUCCCCACCCUGAUAAUAAAGUGUUUUAUUGGUAUCUUCCACUAGAUGGCAGUAAACACCUGCUGUAACUAGACUUUACAACUAUGUGUUCGGUUUUAUACAGGCAGUGUCCCAGAGGAGGAGUGCUGAUCUAGGAUCAGGUCCCCCCUCUCCAUGUAAUCUGAUUCAUUAUAAUCUAGGAUCAGGUCCCCCCUCUCCAUGUAAUCUGAUUCAUUAUGAUCUAGGAUCAGGUCCCUCCUCUCCAUGUAAUCUGAUUCAUUAUAAUCUAGGAUCAGGUCCCUCCUCUCCCUGUAAUCUGAUUCAUUAUAAUCUGGGAUCAGGUCCCCCUCUCCAUGUCAUCUGAUUCAUUAUGAUAUAAGAUCAGGUCCCCCCUCUCCAUGUAAUCUGAUUCAUUAUGAUCUAGGAUCAGGUCCCUCCUCUCCAUGUAAUCUGAUUCAUUAUAAUCUAGGAUCAGGUCCCUCCUCUCCAUGUAAUCUGAUUCAUUAUGAUCUAGGAUCAGGUCCCUCCUCUCCAUGUAAUCUUAUUCAUUAUGAUCUAGGAUCAGGUCCCCUCCUCUCCAUGUAAUCUGAUUCAUUAUGAUCUAGGAUCAGGUCCCUCCUCUCUAUGUAAUCUGAUUCAUUAUGAUCUAGGAUCAGGUCCCUCCUCUCCAUGUAAUCUGAUUCAUUAUGAUCUAAAAGGCUAAACUGACCCUAGAUCAGCUCUCCUGCUCUUUAUGAAUACUGUCACAGGUGACUCCUCAAGAUCAGGCUCGUGAUGUAUAAGUUCUAUUCUUUAAGAAUCAAUUACUAUCAUUCAUUGAACUGCUUUGCCAUGAACAGAUCUGUGAGGUCUUAACUUAAAGGUACUUUAUAGAUCUUAUGGUCAUUUUAAUGGGGUUGAACAUCCAUCCAAUCAGAUUGUGUAAAGGAUUUUAUGAGUUCAGAAAAAUAGCAACUUGGAAGCAUCUCUCUGACCUCACCCUGCUGAAACACACUCAAGUAAAGACCACAUAUCUACAGUUAAAUGCUUGUCUGUUUCUACCCACUUUUACAGCCAAUGUAUGGACUGGUAUCCAUAUGAAUCAGUAGAAUAUACAGACCAGUUAACCACCUCUCAGUAGAUGGACCCACACAGAACUUUAUAUAUACAGACUAGUUAACCACCUCCCAGUAGAUGGAACACAGAACUUUAUAUAUACAGACCAGUUAACCACCUCCCAGUAGAUGGACCCACAC